UCCAGGAAACUGAAGGUCCUAAUGAUCUGAAGUUUAGCACAGGGUGUGCUUGUCGAACAGGUACUCGGCCAUCUUGUUGUUGUGUGCGUCCAUCUUGGUGAGGUUGGUGAUGUGGUCUCCCAGCUUCUUGAUGGCCUCCACCUGCUCAUUCAGGUAGUGGGUCUCCAGGAA
Hypomesus transpacificus is the source of this 171-nucleotide long non-coding RNA. RefSeq lists it as uncharacterized. The transcript is spliced from 2 exons. NCBI's taxonomy places the organism in Eukaryota, Metazoa, Chordata, Actinopteri, Osmeriformes, Osmeridae. The record is from RefSeq and is a predicted model, not a curated record.